Molecule: long non-coding RNA, 21879 nt
Filed under: Lactuca sativa (garden lettuce)
Lineage: Eukaryota; Viridiplantae; Streptophyta; Magnoliopsida; Asterales; Asteraceae
Description: long non-coding RNA (LSAT_LNC006406)
Source: RNAcentral
UGUGUGUGUGUGUGAGAGAGAGCCAAUUGCUUGAAUAGCUUGUAAAAGUGACCUAGGACGGAGAAUUCCCAAUUUAUACCAAAAAGUUUCUUCCCUUUUACGUAAUCAUGAAUGGAGAGAUAUUCUACGUAAAAAUACCGUAUCCCAAUAUAAUGAUGGGUAUUUUAGUCGUCAUCCAAAAAGUUACCAUUGAGAUAAGGAAGUUACAUCAGUGAGACAGGUCAUCAACGACAAUGAACAUCAACGUAAGUGAUCAGCGAGUAAAUUGAUGAUGGUCAUCUAGUUAGUUUGUGAUGUCUCCUGAUAGUGUGGGCUUAAACUACCAUUCAACGACAUAGCAUUACGAGAUCUCAUCAGCAUACUGUUUCAUAUGCUGACUCAUUAAUCACUUUUAUUAGAAGAAAAAAGGGCAAGAAUAGGUAGGUGCAUGUAAUAUAUCACGAACAAUGGUAUACCCAUCGACACUAAUUUUUCAAAUUCUCAUCAGUGUUUUGUAUCAUAUGUUGAAUCAUAAAAUUCUAUAGAAUAAUUUAUGGAUAAAAUGGUUUGAUGCGUGUGAUAAGCUGUGGUGUUUUGGCUUAGUCAUUGGCAUAGAUUUGUCAAACUCUCAUCAGCGUAUGGUACAUUGCAUUGAAUCAUAAUGCAUUCAAGAAGAAUAUAAGGGCAAGAAUGGAUUGUUUUAGUCACGCUAAGUUGGAAUUAGUGUGAAUCAUUAACAAGUAUAACUCACGAGCAAGAAAUAUUUUUGAUCCUUGCAUCAAAAAUUUUUAGUUGUAGUCUAGAAUCAAGGAUUCACAUCAAUUCAUAAUGGUACCAUGUCAUACCUCAGUUUAGGAGGUCAUGGACAUGAACAACCCUUUGUCAUUUAAAGAACAGAAAAUUAUCUCUUAUGUUGAUGACUAUGCAAUCAAGGUAAGCUAUUGGGUUAUGCUUAAUAUUUCAGCAGAACAUGAGACUUGAUGCAUACAACAAACAUGCUUCCAGGGACGAAGUCAGGUAAGAGACAAUUGAUUACAAGUGAACACCCAAACAUUUCUAUAUAUUAAUUUGGACCAGGAAAUCUUACUUUGAAAGAUUAGACUAUGCCAGACACUCAACGUGAGGGGGUGACUCAAUGUUCUCAGCAAAUGGUCUCGUUGAUGAGAGACUUAGAGAGAUUUAGUCACAUACAACAUCAUGCUUCUAGGGACAAUAAAUUGUUAAUUGUUACAUAUUGGCUUGAAAAAUUCCAUCGACAACAUCAAUAAGAGUGGUACAAAAGGAAUUAAUGACAAAUAAUAUAAGAAUACAAACAAAAGAGUUAAUCAAACGAGGAAAUAUUCUAAAAGUAAAAUAUGUGCAACUUUUUCAGAAGCAUGAUAAAGACUUGAUCCAUCAAAUCUUUUGAAUCGAAUGGCCAUAAAUGCACUUCCAUUUUCCAAGAUAUCUGCCCUUCAAGUUUGGAUAUAAAAGAAGGCAAUAAAAGAUAAUUUAUAUAAAACAAGAAACACAAUUCAUAGUAAACAAAGAGAGAGAGAGAGAGAGAGAGAGAGAGAGAGAAUGCAUGUAAUCAUUGAGAUUUUACUAAUUGACUCCAAGCUUAUAUCCACUAAGAACGGAGGAGGAGCAUGAGCUAGUAUUUUUAACCAACGAGUUAAAAGGAUCCAAUAUUUGUAACCUUAGAGUUAUAAAAGUCACAAAUAGAAAACUCGAAGGUUCCAUUCAUUGUGAUCCAUGGAGGAAGAGAAGGUGGGACCACUAUCUUGUUGAAGAUGCCUUUGGAUCUCUGAAGGGAUGGUGUAUAUGUGACAACAUCUAUGGAAACUAGACGUGCUAUGUCACCUAACUUGACUUCAUCCCAUUGAAGCAUAAAUAGUUUGUUCAAGACGUAAGAGAUAUAUGUCUAGAAGAGCAUCCUUUGGCACAAUUCUCUCCUAUCUAGUCUUAACAACAUAAAGCAACAUGUCAAUCAGUGUGUGCAUCAGCGUUAGUUAGAGGGCAGUGGGUGUUGAAUAAAAUAUGCAGAGUCAGCGUCAACUAGCUCUACAAGGAAGGUGAUGCAUUCAAGGAAUGACACGUUGAUCUUAUCAGUUAAGAUCAAUGUCAAGAUGUAGAAAGAGGAUCCUAAGACAUUUAGAAGGUGAGAGAGAAGUUCAUACAUAGGCAAUGCUAGUAACAAAAUGUACAAUGUAUAUCUCUUUGGUAAAAUCAAAGUCAAAGGAAAGCUUUUAAUGCACAAAAUCAAAAAUAAACUAAAACUAUAGCAACUUAUGUUCAAAAAUUUAAAAGUAGCAAAGAAACAAAUAAAGUAUCAAUGUCUAUACAACCAACAUCACAAAGUUGACUAAUGGGAAUAAAAUUUCCUCAUUGCAUUUUGAAAGAACUUUAUAACUUACAUCACAAAGUUGACUAAUGGGGAUAAAAUUUCCUUUUAGACCCUCGACAUAGAACACAUCCUUCAACUUGAUUGUCAUGUAUUCAAAAGUUCCAACACCCGUAACAGCUCUUCCGCUAUUGUCACUAAAGACUAACAUUUGACCAUCCUUUUCUGCAAAAUCUGUUAAGAGGGACUUGAAACCAGUAAUGUGUCUAGAUCUUCCACUGUCUAGGUACCAAGUUUAUCCUAUAUGAUCCUUUAACAGCGUGAGAAUCAUCAACGUUAUACAUGUCAUAAGCAUAAUCAUUGAUAAGAGCCAUUAGAACCUUAACAUUUAGCCCCUUGUCAUUAGUUAUCUCCUUUUCUUCCACCCAUUCUUCAUGAUCCUCUUGUUUUGAAAUGAAGGCUUUCGGCAGAGAGAUGUUUUCCUUCUUCAUGUGGGCUGAUGAGAUUAAAAUAAUAACUUUUAAUCUAUAAAGAUCGAUUAGAUCGUGAACAAGUAUAUGAAUAUGAAACUGCAAGAACACAAUAUAAAUAACAAGGCAGAACGCAAUAAUAAGAACAAACAGCUUGAAUCAAACGUGUCGAAUGAUUAAAUAAAAUCCUUAGAAGAGCUCGAUUAAGAACAUCAACUGUAAAGGAUUGGAAGAUUACAAGAGAGCAAUAUCGUAAACUCUGGAACGCUAAAACAGAAAUCUUGAAUCUUAACCUAAUAUGCAUGCAAGCGAUAACUUAUAUACAAUACAUAAAAGGCUCUCGGUAGGACAGGCCCAAACCGGAGAAUACAAGGCUAAUCUACGAGCCCAAAAGACGCAAUACAAAACAGAACUUCAGCCCAACAAUCUCCCCCUUUGCGUCAAUUUGGAGCGAGACCAUCACUUCUUACUUGGGCCGGCGGCUGAAGCUGGUACCUUCUUCUUCACGGUACUAAACAGACACUUGGUUAUGGAAAGGAUGGUCUGUCUAAACCGGAUGUACCAAUUGAUCAUAUCUUCAAAAUAUUUGAUGUCAUCAGCCGAAUUGUCCUUACACCGCUUGAUGAUAGAUAGGACGUGUUCCAAGCAGGUAGUGGUGUAGAGGUGCUUGUCAGCUAACGCGAACAGACAUUUCUGUCCUUCGGCUCUGGUGAACAUCACAGAGUUUCGCCUCGAAUCUAUCUUGCCCAUUUUCAUCGUGUUUAGAUCACUGGCCGAUCCCACAGGCUUGACUUUCGGUUUCUUCUUAAACACUGUGGCAACCUCCUGAUCCAUUAGGGCCACCUCCAUGAUAUAGCAUGCCAGCAUCCUUUUGACAUGGUCUAAGAUGGGACCAUAUUCGGCUUCGUUUGUCAGCAAGAUGUUGUACAAGACUAUCCAAUCAUGAGGGUUCAGAUUGGGCAGAUCCGCCAGAGAGAUCAUGUGAGCAGUUCUUGCAGAUCCUCGGAUAAGCUUGAACUUGACGUUUGUGAAUCUCCCCACGGCAAACGGCUUCAUCACCCGAACAUUGACAAUCUUCUGGGCGCUCCAUGUAAGGAAUUGAGGGCGAGCGGCCUCCAGAUAAAAGUCAAUGAGCUCCCUGUCAAGCUCAUCGUUCGGAUGCGGGACUUCGUAAAUGUUGGAGAAGGCGUGGAAGAUGAACGCCUUUCGAGUCAGCGGCAUAUCAAAUUGCGAAUCGACCGAGUUGAUGCAGUCGAAUGAUAUCACCGGCUCGAGCCAUAGUAUGCUUGGAGUCUCUAUGGCCUCUUUUAUCAGUCGAUCCCUGGUCCAGGCAGGGAAGAGCAGCUUUCGGCUCUCAAGGAGAUCGUUGGCUUCUUUUUGUUUACGUUCGGCUUCUUCAGCUUCACGUGCCACACGACUGACAUCGUCAUCAGUAUUGCGACUGUUCUUUCUCUUUAACAUGUCCGCAAUAGUCUCCUUGUCUUCAUCUUCAUCUUCAUCUUCAUCUCCUCCCUCUGCAAUGUUUUUGCCCUUGUCCUUCACACCCGAACCCGAGGCAUGACCAGUUGGGGGUGGUUCGGUUGUGUGAGUUGCUUUUGAGGAAGGAGGUGGUUUCGAUCCUUUCUUCUCAUCUCCCCCUUGUUUCGGAAUGGACACGAAACUGGGUAGGCCUUCAAUUUUACUCAAGAGAGCCAUGGCCGGAGAGAGUUUCUCAGCGAGGGUACGCCUCACCGAGUGAUUCAGGAUGGGGUCGUGUGCUUCCAGGAUGUUGGAUAGAGCGGCGUGGACAUCCGAAACACACGUCUUGAUGAUUUCCCUUUCGGAUCGAAGAGCCUCCAAUUGUUGUUCGGAGUUGGAAAGUUGGGUGCUCUUGACCUUGAGGGCAGUAGUCUUACUCGCCAGGACGUCCAUCAGUUUAUUUUCAGCCGCAAGAUCCUCUUGUAGCUUUGCCAAGCGGGCUUCAAUGGAGGCACGGAGUGCCGAGUUGUCGUCGCUAAGGUUUUGUCUGAGGGUAGCGAACGAGGAUAACUCCGUCUUUACAAACUGGGCCAAUUGAUUGACAAGUGGUUCCAGAGUUGUUUUGGUGGCUUCGGCGCUUUCCUGCAUAGACUGCAGCAGGAUUGUAGCGUCAUGGAAUAGUUUAUCGACUUUUUCGGUCGCUGCCUCACAAGCUCGGGUGGAGGCGUCUAUUGCAGCAGUAGCAGAGGCCACUGAGUCAUGUUGAGCCCUAGAGAAGGCAUCAACUAUCCUCUGAAGGGCAGCUUCAGAUAAGGAUGACUGCUGAUUGGAAGAGGAGGCGAGAAGUUGAUCAACCUUCUCGUUCAGCUCGCGGAGAUGCUUCUUGGUUACAGGAGCAUCAUCCUCCUCAUCACUUUGAACUUGAAACGGACUAUAGUAGACCGAAUCAAAGUUCAGGUGAUCACCACCUAGGUAUUGAUCAUCGCCAUCGGAGGCGUCUUCUGGAGAUUGAGGUGGUGGUGAAGCUGGGGGUGUUAUGGGUUUGGUUGGUUCAGGUUGAGUAGGUGGGGGGUUAGUUUCAGGUGGUGGUUGUGUAUGGGUUUCGGUUUGAGGAGGUUCGGUUACGGGAGGGGUUUCGGUUACAGGUGGUGUUUCGGUUGAGGUGGUGAAUAUGGGUGGAGGUAUAGGGAAUGAGGUUGGUGGUAUAGUAGGGGUUAUGGUGGGAAUGGAAAUAGGUAUUGUGGGUGGAGGGGAAGGAACUGGGGAUUGGUGAAGUUCCAUCUCCGGGGUUGGGGACCGAGGGGGUGUGUUGCCUCGUAGAGGAGAGACAUCGCCUUGUGAUCCCUCAGCGUCCGAACUCUCAACUUCGGAUUCACUUGAUGAGGAGGAAAGGAUUAGCUUUCGCUUUUGUUGGGUCUUCCUCCUUUUCGGUUGUGGUGACGAGGCAGCCUUCGGUUGUUUGCGCUUCUUGGGAGUAGGUUUUGGGGCUUUGGAUGGUUUCUUCCCCUUGUCUGCCUUCUUACCCCUGGCCACCGGUUUGUCGGCAUCAUGGAUCGAUCUCAACAUGUCCGGUGUCAGUUCCCUCGGACCAGAUGGCCCUAACUCCUUGAUCGCCUUGAUCAUACUGCUGUCUGAUGGCACACUACCAUACAUCGACUCCGGGAUAGAGCCAAUGAAGGAGAAUUUCGAUGCAGCGGAUACGAUGAUCUUCGUGGUGUGGAACGUACCAAUCGAAGACAUCGGUGCACCGUCAGCAGUUUGGACAUCGAACCUGUCCAUAGCCCAUCUUGUGAUCAAGAUCCAGAACCGGGCUAGUGACACCUCGGAGUGUCGGGAAGCGGAAGAGAGGCUCUGAAUCAGUUGUUGCCAAAGGACAAAUCCGUAGUCCAGAUUGAUCCCGUUGUACACCGCAUACAUAAUCGACAGGAAAAGACGACUGGCCCCGUCCGAUCCUGAGCUUCGUUCUGACAGUCCCUUGAAGAGAACUGUAAAUAACCCAUUCCAUUGGGGCGGUAGGCAUGACUUCUUGAAUCUGGCGACGGAGGUGAGAACUUCCGUGUAGCCCAUGUUGUAGAACAUGCUGUAGAGCAUACCAACCGGAAUUGUCUCCGGGUGAACACGCGAUGGGUCAGCAGCAAACCCAAGCAUAGAGCAGAAGCGGGAACGAGAAAUCGACGUCUUGUGUUCCGCCACUUCGAAAAAGACUCUGUCAACGGCCUUGUCGUAAUAAGCCGUUGCGUAGACCUGAGAUAGGGCCACCAUUGGCACCGUUUCAAUCCGUGACAGUGCCGGAGCAAGCUGGGAGUAUUUGAGACACUCGAUGACCGGCGACAUGUAGGGAUCAUAGGCCAGUGGGUUCAGAUCAAUCACGAGGCAUUGCUGAGGACGGAUUGGAAGAAUCUGAGAAGUAGCAUGGACGGAAGAGGAUUCAGCCAUUGUUGCAGGUUGGAGAAGAAGAUAACCGGGAGAGAGUUUGGAAGUAUUUUUGCUUUGGAAAUUAUGGGGCAGUAAAGAGGUAAAAGGUGGUCUGGAUGGGUUUUUAUAGUAGGUGAUAGGAGAGAGAAAGAUCGAUUCAAAUCUCUUAUGGAAAUAUGGAAGGGUUUUUGAGUGACUGAUUGGUGACAGUUGGGACGUGCGAUGAUCACGUAGGAGAGAGAGUGUCAGAUUCCUAGGAUCACGCCGCCCAAUAAGCGCCGGUUCAGAGAGAGGAACCGUUUCCAUUUCCACACGCGCCAUUAAUGCCAGAUGGAUGACGCUUCAAUACUGCACACGCGUCCAAUAGUGUCAGAAAAAGCGCGGCCUCUUCAAAUUCACGCGCCCGCUUUUUACCGUCGUUUGAAUUUCUAUCCUUUGAACUUCCGCCGCGUCAGCAUCUUUUGUCUCUUCCCCUUUUUAACCUGCUGUCUUUUGAAUAAAACGCCCACGUGGAUUAUUGGUAACCACAACUUCAUUAUGAACCAUCCAUUAAUUAUCCAGCCUGUAAAAUAAUUAGUAACGGAAUUUUUGAAAAUCUAGGAUUUUCGUGCUAAGAGUGUAAAAGAUAAGGAAAUAAAGCAACUCUUUUUGGAAUAAUCUGUGAUGUCAAUUAUGACACGAAACUGAUGAUCCCGGGCACGAAUCUCUUCCUUCAAGAUCAAGAAAGACCUCAAAGUGUUAGUGUGGAAUCCCGUUGAAUUACGAUCAAACAUUUAUUAAUAAAUGUUGAAAGGCUUCUUUUAAUAAGACAAAUUAAGGGUGGUUUCGCUUUGAUUCAUCAAUUCAAUUCUUGAUAUAAGAACGAAUGUGAACAAAGUACUUGUGAGACCAGUGUAGUCUGUUGAACAAGUAGGUUUGAGUAGAUUUUGUAGUGGCUUGGAUUAAUAUGAAAUCUCAGAUAAAAAUUUAAAACUGGAUCCCUUGGGAAGAAAUGUUAUGGUGUGUAACAAUUUCAUUGGAACCACGCAAAAAAAAAAAAAAUUGAGAUUUCAUGAAGGUACAUUCGUCAAUUCAUUGGUGAAAACUUGAUCAAAUUAAUUUGUCACCGUCAAUUCUUUGGUGUUGAAUUUUGGGUUUCACUCAGCUCGUAGUGGCACGAAACUAAGAUCAUAAACACAGAUGUUGUGUAACCAUAAACCUCAGUGGUAGUUUCUGAGAGUCUCAAGGGUUACAGUGAUGAAACGAAUGUUAUGGAGAAGUGUAAUGGGGAUGGUGAAAGAAGACAUAGUACCUCUGCUGCGAAAGAAAGGACCAAGCAGGAGACUCUUAACUCAUGUGAGAAGAGAGUGAGGUAGCUCACGAUUAGAAUAAAUAAGUUAGCCUUAUUGGGAAGACAAGGUUUGUGUAUACCAAGUCGUGAAGGCAAUUAUUCAAAAUCUUAUGAGGCUUGGGACACAUACAGCAGCAUGCUUCUAGGGACACUUAAGUAAUUCAGCAAAUAUAUCCCCAUAAGUAAACGAACAUACAAAAAAAAUAAAAACAUAUUUUUGGAGUGUUUGAAAUUUAUAUAUAAAAAAAAAUGAAAAUAAAAAUAGAAAAGAUUAAAAAAUAAGACAAGAAAAAAAAAAACUUUUGAUUAAAAAAAAAAAUUGAAAAACCGAACCCGAACGUUCGGUUGGUUUCGGUUGGAAAAAGUUGAAAAACCGAACCCGAACCUUCGGUUGGUUUCGGUUCAGGAAAAUUUUGAAAAACCGAACCCGAACCUUCGGUUGGUUUCGGUUCAGGAAAAUUUUGAAAAACCGAACCCGAACCUUCGGUUGGUUUCGGUUCAGGAAAAUUUUGAAAAACCGAACCCGAACCUUCGGUUGGUUUCGGUUCUUGAAAAUUUUGAAAAACCGAACCCGAACCUUCUGGAGGUUUCGGUUUUGGAAAAUUUUAAGAAACCAAGGAGUUUAGAUAUGCAAAAAAAAAAACUUUUUACAUAAAGAAAAACAAAUUUUGCACAAGAAAUAUACAACACAGAAAAACUACCUUUGAAGUAAUGAGCGAGUGAAAUGGUUGAACCGAACCCGAACGUUCGGUUGGUUUCGCUUCUUACGUUUGAGAUUGAGAGGUAGUGUGAGGUACUGACUCUGAUUCCAUCAUACCUAGUCCUUGCAAAAUUUUAUUGAAUGAGGCUUCUGGAAGAGCUUUGGUGAAGACGUCAGCCAGUUGAUCAGUGGUUCUUACGAAGUGAACUUCGACAUUUCCAUCUUCCACAUGAUCUUUGAUGAAGUGAUACCUCAGUGCUAUGUGUUUGGUUUUAGAGUGUUGCACCGGGUUAUGACAGAUCCUAAUUGCACUUUCAGAGUCACAAUAUAGAGGGAUCUUCUUCAUAUUGAGUCCAUAGUCUCGAAGUUGACUCUGGAUCCAAAUCACUUGUGAUGUGCAGGAUGCAGCGGCAAUGUAUUCCGCUUCAGCAGUAGACAGCGACACACAUGUUUGUUUCUUGGAUUGCCAGCUGACCAACUUCCCAUCAAGAAAUUGACAGCCACCAGUUGUGCUUUUGCGGUCGAGUCCACAUCCUCCAAGGUCAGCAUCAGAAUAGGCUUGAACGAAGAAGCCAGAGUUGGAUGGAUACCAUAGACCUAAGGAGGCGGUUCGCUUGAGAUAGCGUAGGAUGUUCUUCACUGCCAGCAUGUGAGGUUCGCGUGGGUUAGCCUGAAAUCGAGCACAAUAACAUACAGAAAACAUGAUAUCAGGCCUGCUAGCAGUUAGAUACAUCAGUGAGCCUAUCAUUUGACGAUAGAGCGUGAUGUCGACGGCCGGUUUAUCUAGUGAAGGGGUAAGUUUGGUGCCGAAUGCCAUAGGGACUUUGACUUUUGAGUCUCCCAUCAUGCCAAACUUUGCUAGGAGAGUCUUCGUGUAAGCUUCCUGAUUGAUAAAGAUGCCUUCGGGUCCCUGUCUUAUAUUUAAACCAAGGAAAAAAUUAAUAGGACCCAUUGAGCUCAUUUCAAACUUAGUCUCCAUCAACUUUCUGAAUUCAGCUGUUAAGCUGGGAUUCGUAGAGCCAAAGAUGAUGUCAUCGACAUAAAUUUGAACUAUCAUAAGGUGGUUACCUUCCUUUUUGCGAAAGAAGGUUGGGUCAACCGAACCUUGUUUGAAUUUGGACAUCUUUAAAAAUUUUGUAAGCGUUUCAUACCAGGCUCUCGGAGCUUGUUUGAGGCCGUACACAGCUUUAUCCAGAAUGUAGCAAUGAUUUGGAUACUUUUCGUUCACGAACCCAGGAGGUUGCUCCACAUACACCGUUUCUUCAAGUUCUCCAUUGAGAAAUGCGCACUUGACGUCCAUUUGGAAGACCUCAAAGUUUUUGUGAGCAGCAUAGGCCAGAAAUAUUCUAACCGAUUCUAGCCUAGCUACUGGAGCGAACGUCUCUUCGUAAUCUAUCCCUUCCUCCUGACAGUAUCCUUUGACAACCAGGCGAGCCUUGUUUCUUAUGACAUUACCUUCCUUGUCCAUUUUGUUUCUAAAAACCCAUUUGAGACCAACAACUGAAGCAUCCGGAGGAGUUGGAAUGAGGCGCCAGACUUUGUUCCUCUCAAACUCGUUUAGUUCGUCUUGCAUAGCUUGAACCCAAUCAGAGUGAUCGAGGGCAGUGUUCACUGUCUUCGGUUCGACUUUUGAUACAAAUGAGUUAAACAUACAAAACUCAACUUUUGAGAAUAAGGAUGUCUGUUUUGCCUUCAGUUGAGAUCGGGUCAGAACCUUUUCAGAUACAUCACCAACUACUUGAGAGAUAGGAUGAUCUCUGGUCCAUUUUGUAAGAGGAGGGUAAUUCGGAUCAAAGGAUGGAUCUAGUUCAGCGUUGAUCAUCUCUUCAGGCUCGGAUUGGCUAUCAAAAUCAAGCGUCAUAUCAUCAUGCUCCCCCUCAAUUGAUGAGUCUUGACAAACGUGAGGUUCAGGGGUUUCUUGUGGUGCUGGAUUUUCAGACAUUGAAGGACCUUCGUGAGGAGGUGCAUCUUCGGUUGAUGAAGGACCUUCGGUUGAAGUAGUAGAGCUUGGCUCCCCCUGGACUUGUGAGCUAGGCUCCCCCUCGACAAGAGAAUUUGGCUCCCCCUCGACUGAAGCAUUGUUGGUUGGAGAUUCAUCAGUAGGCGAUUCUCCUUCAUGCAUUCUUCUUGCAGCAUCUUCGACAAUCUUCUUCAUAUGAUCUAUUUUGUUGUCGGCUGCCCCUGCUUCUGAGAGAGAAGCUUUUUCCGGUUCAUCAAAGAGAUCCAGAAAAUUCUCGUACAUAUUGGCGAUUGAGAUUGUGACUUGACCAGUUUGAGGGAAGAUUUCCCUGGCAGUGUCAUCUAUGGCCUGUAGCUUCUUGACAUAGCUAUCGUCGAAGGUCACAUAGUAUGUUUCUUCAAUCCUUCUUGAUCGUUUGUUUAGGACCCUGUACGCCUUUGAAGUGAGUGAGUAACCCAGAAAGAUUCCCUCGUCGGCUUUGACAUCAAACUUGUUGCGGUGUUCUUUAGAGUUAAAGAUGAAACACCUUGAGCCAAAAACGUGGAAAAAUUUCACAUUGGGCUUCCUGUUGUUUAGUAUCUCAUAUGGUGUGAGCGUGAAUCGCUUGUUGAGAUAGGACCUGUUUUGUGUAUAACAAGCAGCAGAAAUAGCAUCAGCCCAAAAAUAUAGAGGUAAGGAAGCGAAACUUAACAUAGUUCGGGCAGCUUCACACAGAGAUCGGUUUCGUCUUUCGACUAUUCCAUUCUGCUGUGGUGUGUAGGGAGCUGAGAAAUUAUGGCUAAUUCCCUUUUCUGCAAGAAACGCUUCAAACUCCCUGUUCUUGAAUUCGAGACCAUUGUCGCUCCUGAUGUUGCGAACGACCUUCUUGAGCUGGACUUCAAUUUGCUUGAUAAACACUUUCAGCUUUUGAGUCGCUUCAGAUUUGAGCUUUAGAAAGAACACCCAUGUAAAUCUAGAGAAGUCAUCAACGACAACAAGAAUGUACUUGCUACCACCGAUGCUUUCAAUAGAUGAAGGACCACAUAAAUCGAUAUGAAGCAAUUCGAGUGGUUCAACAACUUUUGUGUUAACAAUGGAUGGGUGACUUUGACGACUCUGCUUUCCCAUUUCACAUGCAGCACAUAAAUGCUCUCUGUCAAACUUGAGCAAUGGAAGACCCCUAACAUGACCUCCAGUGACAAGUCGGUUGAUAUCUUUGAAAUUGAGAUGAGAGAGUCUUCUGUGCCACAACCAGCUUUCGUCGUAUUGAGCUUUUGAUAGCAGACAAAUUGCUGGGUUUCCUUUGAUGGGUUUCAUGUUCAGCGGAAACAUUUCACCCUUUCGCUCUGACUUCAGAAUCACUUUCUUUGUUGUUUUCUCUAUGAUUUCAGAACCUUCAUCAUCGAAUGAAACUUUGAGACCUGUACCUCCAACAAGCUGAGAUACACUGAUGAGGUUGUGUUGAAGUCCUUCCACAUAAGCCACCUUUCUUAUGGUAAAAUCACCAUUCGUUAUCAUCCCAUAUCCCUUUAUGGUGCCGUAAGAGUUAUUUCCAAACUUAACGUUGCCACCAUUUGCAAGAGAUCUGUAUUCCCUGAGUUCCUCCUUCCUUCCUGUCAUGUGACGCGAGCAGCCACUGUCGAUGUACCAUUCUUCGUCAAACUGCUCGUCACUUAUAACCUGCAAAAAUUAAGCAGAUUUAGGAACCCAAAGUUUCUUGGGUCCAUGUGAGGUUUUCAUGGGAACAGGAAUAGUUAGAGAGAUAUCAACAAGAUAUGUUCUUUUAAUUAAAGUUGUUUCAUCUUUCUUUUUAAUGGUGAAAACUUUUAUUUUGUUAGGAUUGGAUUUGUUCGCUUUAGACUCAGGUUUGAAUUCACCGACUUUCUGCUUUUCCUUCUGUUCAGCAGAUGGACGUGGUUUUUGAGAACCCAUGGAAUUAGUGUUAGAGCAAGAUGGAGAUGAACAAGAAGAAUUAGGAAGAGAGGAUUUGGAUUUGGAUGGAGGUGUCUUCCUUGCUGAUGACUCUAGGUGACCCUUUUGCUUUUGAUCGUUGGUGGGUUUAACUUUUGAGUCUUGUUCUCUUCUGACUUCAGAACUGAACCUCUGAGUUCGGUUGGAGUUGUUCUUGGAAUCGAACCUUUGGUUUCGGUUGAAAUCCUUUUCAGAACCGAACCUUUGCUUUCGGUUAGAAUUUUCUUGCGAACCGAACCUUGGCUUUCGGUUGGUAUCUUCUUGCGAACCGAACCUUGGCUUUCGGUUGUUGGAAUUAUCGUGCUUUCUUACGGGAUUAUUUUCAUACUUCAGAUUCUUGUCCUUGUGUGAAUAGUAUGCAUUCUGGGAGUGCCAGAAUUGUUUCCUUUCAGAAAGGUUUUUCCUGUAUCUUAGGUUCCUUUCUAUCUUUUUAUCCCUCAUCUGUUUAGGUUGAUGAUGAACGUUCGCUUUCGCUUUUGAUGUAACCUUUGCUGAUUCCUUUUGAACUUUAGGAGUUUUUCUUUGAAACGAGGGAGCAGAGGGAAUAUCUGAAGAAGAUUCAGUUUGCCCUGAGGAAGUGGAAGGAGUAUCUGAUGAAGUUUCACUUCGAGCUGUUGGCGUUGAAGGAAUGUCUUCUUUUACUGAAUGAUCAACCUCUUGAGGAGUGUCUUUUGUACCACUUGUGCUUGGUUCACUGAAAUUAUCAGGCUUGUUCAAGGGUUCAGGUAUGUAUCUCCCUUUCUUCAUCCAAGAGGUUCUUUCAGAUAGGCCAACGGUUUCGUUUCCAUUGUCAAUAGGAGCUUCCCAGAAGAACUCAUCACAGCCAUCAGCAUUGUCUUCGUUAACAAUAGCCGUGAGUUCAGCUGUCUGAUGUUCGGUUACUCCAGUCACUUUGUAUACCUGAUUCGGAGUGGUUCUGACCUUUUGAUAGACAACAGCCUUUUCUACUAAUUUCGGGGACUUUUGUUGGGACAAUCUAGCGAAUUCCACAGAAUUUUCAGAAAUAAGAUUUUUGUGGUUUUCAGUUUCGCUUUUCACAAAUUCUGAGCAGUCAACCGUAUCCUCUACAGAAAUUUCACUCAUGUUUUCGUCCUCGUUAAGCUCAGAUGCAUUUUCAACAUCAAUUUUAUUUUCUGAGCUUACUUUGGCAUUUAGAGAGUCAAACUUUUGUAUGGUUUCGGUUCUCAGUUUAAGUCUAUCAUUUUCGUCCAACAGAUUUUUGAGCAUGUCCUUAUGGUCUUUGGAUUUAAUGAAGGACUCAAUUUUGUCCAGUCCAAUUUGAUAAGUUGGGUUGACAUCAUCAGACGAAAUCACACUCUCACAAUUGUAAGCUUCGGCAUCGAUUUCAUCCUCCUUAAAUUCUAGGAAUGGUAAAAUCAUACGGUGGAUCUUUUUGCCUAUCUCACAGUCCAAGUGCAGCUGAGUAAUAUUGGAAUAUAAACGUUUAGCUAUUAAACAAAAAACAUUUCGUUGUUUUAACAAUUUCAAAUUGUCUCUCUGCAAAUAAAUGUUUUCGUCUUUGACUUUAAUUAAUUCCGACUCUUUUAACUCAAUCCACAUACGCCGCUCCUCACUCUUCGACGCCACCCUGCUUAAUUGAUCAGUCAGGUUAGAAUUGGUGACUCUAGUUUGAGUUAAGCUACUAUCUAAAUGAGAAAUUCUUGUGUUAACGUUUUUUAGUUCUUUCUCAUAUGAGGAUGAUGGUACUUUAGAUGAAAUAAAAACAGAUUGUACCUUCUUUAUCAGUUCAUCAAGCUCAUUGAACUGUUGGCUGAGUGGUUUGGCUGUGAAGCACAUAUCUUCCUGCACUUUCGGUCCAUUGCUUCCUCCAUCGGUAUUGUAUCCCCUCAUUUGAGAUGCGCUUGACACCAUGAAGCAUUUUCCACCACUGCUUUCCUCCUUAGCCAUAUAAGCCUUUCCAUGAGUAGGCUUCCUCACUUCUUCGUCUUCUGAGUCAGUAGACCAAACUUCGGUGCUACCGAACUCAUCGUUAUUAACCGAACCCUGCACAAUAAGAGCAUUAAUAGAAGGGUUAGCGGUAGACUUUUUCUUCCUCAACUCAUCCAACCUCUUCUGCAGUACGGCUUCCUCAUCCUUUCCGUCAUCCUUUUCAGCCAUCUUUUUAAGAACACAGUCCUUAGCAUAGUGGUUCUUGCCACCACAGUAAAAACAGCUUACUCCGGAAUCGCCAUCUGCCUUCGGUUCCUUCUUGGACUCCUCAGCCUUCGGUUCAUUGUUUGCCUUUUCAGAGCUAUAACUCCCCUGCCAGUUUCGGUUUUUGUUGCUGGGGAAUCUCUUCUUUAUGAACCUCUUAGGAUUGGAUACCAUCAUGGCAUAAUCCUCAGUUGUGAGGUCAUAUUCUUCCAAGUUGAGCUCUUCAUCCUCCAUCACGGCUUUACUUUUAGAUAGGAGGGCCAACGAACCAAGACUAGACACAACGUUCUUCUCUUGAACAACAAUCUUCUCUUGGGACUUUAGAAUACCCACCAGUUUCGCCAAAGAGUAUGAUUUAAACUGUUCAUGGGCUUUGACUGUGGAAACUACUGCUCUCCAUUCCGAUCUCAGUCCGUUCAAGAAAGUAACCUUUUGUUCGAUGAGCUUCCUUUCAAUGUCGUGUUUGAUCAUCUUGCUGAGAAGAUGAUUGAAGCGAUCAAACGUCUGGGUCACGGUUUCUUCGGCCCCUUGCCUGAAUUCUCCAAACUCAGAUAGAAGCAAGGUUUGGAUGGAGUGUUCAAGAUCUUCGUCUGUUGAAUACAGUUCGCGAAGUCUAUCCCACACUUCCUUCGCCGUAGUGCAUGAGCUGACUAGUCUGAAUGUGUCGGACUGAAGGGCGAAUCUGAUCAACCUUAGUGCCUUAAUAUUGCACUGGAAUUUAUCUUUCUCAUCCUGCGCAAUAUUCGUCACGUCCUUGAGCAAAUCGUUGUAUUCUUUUUGCGUCUUAAUAACUCUGGAUGUCGCGGAAUGAGAAAAUGGUCCAUUGAUAAUGGCUUCCCAUAUGAGAAAACCAUUGUCCUCCGAUCCAAUCACGUAAUCUUCAAAAUGAUGUGCCCAUACUUCAUAGUCAUGGGUGUAUAAGAUUGGAAUCUUUGUCGUCGAACCAAUGCUGUUGGAAAUAUUAAUAGGGUUUGAUUGCGUUGCGUCCAUAAUGAUCGUAAUAACCUGUUCAAAGAUCAGACUUGUAAUAAAGCAGAUUAGGGCAAAACAAUAAAUACUAAGAUACGUCAAUUAAGAUGACGGCUCAAUAAAUAUCGAUGAUUGCGGAAAACCCUAAUGAAAAUCUUUUUCACAGAAAAGAAGUGUAUCGAUUACACAUCCUCCUGCUCUGAUACCAAUUGAUGAGAUUAAAAUAAUAACUUUUAAUCUAUAAAGAUCGAUUAGAUCGUGAACAAGUAUAUGAAUAUGAAACUGCAAGAACACAAUAUAAAUAACAAGGCAGAACGCAAUAAUAAGAACAAACAGCUUGAAUCAAACGUGUCGAAUGAUUAAAUAAAAUCCUUAGAAGAGCUCGAUUAAGAACAUCAACUGUAAAGGAUUGGAAGAUUACAAGAGAGCAAUAUCGUAAACUCUGGAACGCUAAAACAGAAAUCUUGAAUCUUAACCUAAUAUGCAUGCAAGCGAUAACUUAUAUACAAUACAUAAAAGGCUCUCGGUAGGACAGGCCCAAACCGGAGAAUACAAGGCUAAUCUACGAGCCCAAAAGACGCAAUACAAAACAGAACUUCAGCCCAACAUGGGCCAACAACUUAUUAUACAAGACUUCAUAGUUCUCUGGACUUCGAGCAUCAUUCUUCUCCUUGCAGUCCCUGGAAAAUAGUCAGGGCUUCCAUAAUUAAAGCAAUUACCUAAGUUUCUCUUCUCUGAAGUGGAUCUCCUUGAUGAACUGCUUCCUCUAAACUGAGCUCUUUGAACCCCGUUUAUUUCGCUUUCUUCAUAAUGUUUGACAAUAAGAGUAGUGUUGGCAACAAGUCCAUCAGUGAUAUCUUCAUCACUCUCCUCGCCCUUGUCUAAGUUAUCUAAUUCGUUGAUGUGCUUCAUUGCUUCCUUUCAAGAAACCAAAGCUAGAGACUUCGUCUUACUUGAGUCCUUCAUGAUUUCUUUACGAAGAGAUUUGGUCUCUUUGUAAGUCCCUAGUCUGCCUGUGUAUCAAUCAGAUCCGUUUGAUGGUGCGGAAUCUCAAUCAAACGGAUGAUGUCAGAUAAAAUAGAAGAGAAGAAGAAGAAGAAUAAGAUGAAUCUCAAUGUAUUAAUGAAUAAAAUGAUGAUCCAGAUACAAGAGAUUCACACACACACACACACACACACACACUAACACACAAUAGUUCUUCUGUCUCUCUGGCCGUAAACUCUCUAGGGUUUAUCAAUCUCUACUCCUCACCCUAACACCUCUAUUUAUACUAGGGGAACAUGGGCCGGAAACAAAUGGGCUGUAAAUGAGUUUACGGUCGUAAGGUGUUUACGACCGUAAACUCAGCCGUAAACUAGACCAUAAAUUCACAAAUAUUACACAAAAAUAUAAUUGCCUUGAAAAGCAAAGUAUAAACCAUAUUUUGACCCAACAAUCUCCCCCUUGGUUUAUAGCUUUCUUUUCUUAUUUGACCCAACAAGCUCCCCCUAAAAAGUAGCUGGCUUUUCUUGUUAAUCUUAAUCGAGAGCUUGGCUUCAGCAUUUAUCUUCAAUGAAUGACUUCAUCUUGAGCGGUUGGACAUUUCUUCAGAAUUUGGCUUUGAACGCACAUUGGGUGAGGAGGCUUGACGUACUGAUUCUUGAAAGAUGGCGCUUUCAGCUUGAGAAUCUUCAGAGAGAACAAAUCUUCUGGAUUACUUCAACAGGUACAACGAUAGCAGCAGACUGAUUGAGGAGGCUUCAAUGCAAUUCGUUACAUAAUCUUCAAUUUCUGCUUCACCUUGCUUCUAGGGUUGAAAGAUUGAAUUUGAAAGAAUAAUCUUCAUUUCUUGCUCCUUUGAAUGAGAAUUCUUCGUUGCUCACGGACGAGGCUUUGGCUCAGAAAUCUUCAACAUAAACUCCAUGAGUCUUAUCUAUACCUGAAAUCACUUUUCAAGACAAAACAAAACUAAAAGAAAACUUAGCACACAAAUUAAAACAGAAACAAAAAUAUUUUUGGAUUUUUUGAUUUUUUUUGAACAAGAAAUAAAACAGAAAUAACACUAUUUUUGGAUUUUUGGAUUUUUAAUUAGAUGAAACCUAAGGAGUUUACGGCCAGAGAGGAGAGAAACGAGAGCUCUUGUAUCCGGAUCAUUAUUCUAUUCAUUAAUACAUUGAGAUUCAUCUUAUUCUUCUUAUUCUUCUCUUCUAUUUUUAUCUGAUUUGGAUCUGACUGAUACACGGGCAAAUUAGGGACUUACAAUUGGUAUCAGAGCCUGGUUGUAUCAGUCAAAAGGAUUUAUUGUUUCGUCUGGAAUCUGAAUAAUUGGUGUUUCCGGUCCAAGCUUACGGCCGUAAACACCGAGUUCUUGGGCCGUAAACCCAAUUUUGGGGCAUUAUUUGAUCUUAUUUUCGAAAUAUUUUUGUGUUUUUGGAUAGAUCUCGCAAAAAUAAGGGGAGUUUGUUCUUCGUGUUUUUCAUAAAAAAUGGUUUUUGAUCGAGUUUUGGAGCUUCAAAGUCGAAAAAUCGCUGUUUUUCACGUAAUCGUUUAAGGGUUUUCGUCCGGAGCUUACUGCCGGAAACAUUUCACGGCCGGCGGCGGAGUUCGUGUUUGCGGCUAGGGUUUCCGAGCUUGCGGCUCGGUUGGAAGUAUACGACUCGGAUUGUCUGCGGCUCAGCUCGGUGAUCAGCUCAGCGACUGGUCUCCUCAGCAGCAGCACGCUUCAAAUAAAAAGGACGCGAAGUUGGGGGAGGCCGAGAUCGAACCCGCGACCUCUAGAUCAUUGACACAACCGCUUAGCCAACUCGACCAACUAUGACUUUGUUCCUUCCAUCCCAAAUAUUAAACUUAAACACUUCCAGCUGCACCCUAAUCUCGAAAUUUGACACUUUUAACCCCAAAAAUCAAUUUCUUUCCUUUUUAAAUAUCUUUUUCAACCAAAAAUUUUAAUUUUUAAUUUUUGACUUUUUAUUUAAAAUUUGACCUUUGACUUUCUCGUUUGACUUUUAAAUUUUCAAAUUUAUUUUUUUUGGUUUGACUUUUAAGUUUGUCUUUUCAAGUUUGACUUUUGAGUUUAACUUUUUAAAUUUGACUUUUUCAUGUUUGAUUUUUGAGUUUGAUUUUAAAAAAAAAAUUGACUUUUAAAUUUUAUUUUAGCUUCUAGUUGUGCUUUUAAUUGAUUUUAAGGUCUACGAGGGAGUUGAAAACAUGAAAGUGAGUCGUCAGGAUAUGUUAAGACAAAAUUUCAACAUUUUCGAUUAUAUCCCUGGAGAAACCCUCGAAACUUAAUUGUAGAGAUUUACUACACUCACUACUGGGAUGAAUAUAGCCGGGAUCUUCUUGUCCAAAUCAGAGAUAAACAAAAAGCUGCUAAAUUCACUUCCGAAAUCGUGGGAUAUAAACGUAGCUGUCAUCAAGAACACAAAAGAUCUCAAUCGUGUUAGUAUUGCUGAAGUAAUUGAAGAGCUUGACGCUUUAAAGAGUUCUGUAAACCUUCUGGUCAAUGAAGUGUCAUGUUCUCAUUCAUGUGAAGUUUCAUGUUCUCAAUCAUGUGAAGAUACGAUUAAGUUUCUUCGAGAACAAAUUGAUGUAUUUAAAAGAGAAGUUGAGGACCUGAGAUAUGAAGGAUAUCAACUCAGGAAAGGACAGAAACCCCUGAAGGCUGAGUUAGAAGCAAAAACCAAGGACUUUAGGAAACUUCAGGAAGACUACAGUAACAAAUGUGAAAACUAUGAUUAUGUAGUCAAACAAAAUGCUGAGCUAGUGGCUGAAGUUGAAUCUUUGAAAGGAAAGUUUGAAACCGCCAAACUUGAUGUUAGAAAAUAUGAUUUCUCAAGUGAGGUGGUUGCAAAUAUGAUAGACCAAAGCAUGCAGUUUAAAAGGAAUCAAAACAAGGGUCUAGGGUAUGAUAGUGUACCUCCUCCUUAUAAUCAUAACUACACAUCCAUCCCUAUAACAAAGAAAGAAAUUGACAGGGAGGCACAUCUUCAAUAUGGAAAACGAGCUGGAUUUGUGUCAGGAGGUGUUAUUAAUAUUGAAGAUACUAAUGAUGCUACUUCUUGUGCAGGCAAAGUAACAGAAGAUGAGAACAAGGAGAAAACCAUUGAACAAUCCAACAUCUCCUUGAACUCUGAAUCUGUUGCUUCGAACUCAACUGCUUCUGAUCAACCUGCCGUUGGUAAAUACAUGCCACCAAUUCCAACGCAACAGAGUUCUUGUGGCAAGUGUGCAUGUGGGAACAACAAGAGACAAGGCAAGGAUACGCCACCAGGGGCAGGAAGAAACAACUUCACAGUGAAGAAAAAGACAUGUUUUCACUGUGGAACACCUGGACACAUUGCCAGAAACUGUCCAAAUCGCGCAUACAUUCCCUACUACGCACAAGGGUGGCAGAACGCGCCAAGAGGGAGAUAUUUCAAAAGAAACCCCUCAAGGUCGCGUUCAGACCAUGAUGACUGGAACGUGCAGAAGGCCAAGAAUCAAUCCCACAAGGCCAAGAAUCAAAAUCCCAAGGGCAAGAAGGGAAUGUCGGCCAAGAAGCCAAAUCCAAGAGAUGCUCCCAUGAAGUCAAAAUCAAAGUCAUCUCAACGGCCGACAUCAACUUCAAAAUCAAGUGCUGAGCCACCCAUCAGAUCGAAAAAGAAAUGGGUUAAACCCAACUACAAAUGGGUUCCAAAGGCUCACUCUCCCAAAUCAACUAAUGACUCUAAUAUUUCUUCAUCUUCUGUUUGUGAUAAACAGGAUAUGUCAUGGGAGAGAGUACCGUGCAAGGAUGACAAAGGUCGACCCAGUUUCAAAAUGGACUGGGUUCCAAAGACCAACUGAUCCCGCUCUGUGUCGGAGCAGCUAUGGAGGCAUAUCAUCAGACUUCGGUUUGUUGGUAGUGGCUGUUCCUGGCACUUGAUAGGGGACAUCUCUCAACUGUACAACAUUCAGACAUUUGUUUGAGAGUAUGUGUCCUUUGCGGGAAGGGAAGAAAGGAAGGGAUCACAUGGGGUUUGUGCUUAACGACAUGAAGAAUUUUCGGAUCUGUUCUGAGAUUACGCGUGCUGUUCUCAGACCUUCUGGAUGCAAAUUCAAUCGGUGACUUACGGUUUGAGUUUUCUUCUCUAUACUCCUGAGUUUUUCUUAAGCUGAUUCGCUUUAAAGACUAAUUUUUGUUUUAGGAUAGUUUAAAUUUGCGCAUUUACUUUCGUUUCUCUCUUAUGCACAAAUUUAGGGGGAGAAAUAAAAACAAAACAAAAAUUAGAAAAUUUUAAAAAUCCAAAAACAUUAGAAAAUCAGAUAAUCAAAAAAAAAUUGUUGGUUAUGAAAUGUGCUGCUUGAGGGAGAUGUUCUGGGAAGUGAUAUGAUAAAGUGAUAACAGGCAACCUGAGUCUGCGUAACGUACCCGAAGUUGAAGGGUCUAUGCUCUGGUUUGAUGCGUCGGUAGGCACGAAAAUUUUUAAAAUGGACUUGACUAGGGAGAGUUGAACUUAGGAAAUUUAUAGACUUGACAAAUCUUGACCUAGUUAGAUCCGUUCAGCCUGACAAUACGACGCUCGGAUAGGUUGAGCAGGGAGAUAUAUAUGGGAAUCUACUCGUCACAUUAAUUGAACCCGUACUUGGAACCGUGGUUUAACUUUUCCUCGAUGUGCGGAUUCUGUCCUUAAUUCCGGUUGGAUGGGGCAACUGGUAAAUUCCGAUAAAUUAGGUCUGUAAAAUAUCAUUUUCUUUCUUUCCGUCUGUUAGUCAUGUGUUGUAUCCUUUGCACGACUUCUAAUCCGACCUGGUACACAAUAUAUGCAACUCUAUUUCUCUAUAGGCUAUAUAUAUGUGAAAUACUUCUUAUCUGUUAGCCAUAUGCUGUCUCCUUUGCGCGACUUCUAAUCCGACCUGGUACACAACAUAUGCAACCUUCUUCUUCUCAACCCCUCUGAAGUAGUUAGCAAUAGAAUUCUGAAUCUCUCCUCUCUCUGAAUGGUUGUCUGCUCACCCGGUGUAAGGAGUACUCUGGAAGUUCUUGAUGGCUGUGGCUUAUCAGGAAGUGGGAAACACGUUCCAGUGCACUUAAAAUUGAACUCAUACAGAUUGUCUAUAGAUCUCGCUGCUCAAUUUAGUUGGACAACAAUAUCCCUAGUCGUCGUCAGUUGAAUGGUCCUUAAGAUAUAGUAUUGAGGAACUUAGGAUCAUAUAUAAUAUCUAGGAACUUAA